Tympanuchus pallidicinctus (lesser prairie-chicken) is the source of this 347-nucleotide long non-coding RNA. RefSeq lists it as uncharacterized. Lineage: Eukaryota; Metazoa; Chordata; Aves; Galliformes; Phasianidae. The transcript is spliced from 3 exons. The record is from RefSeq and is a predicted model, not a curated record.
CUCUUUCUGGUGUUUUGUGGUGAGCCCAGCAUAAGGGAGUGAAUGUUUGACAGCAUGGAUCAAGCAAUGAGUUCUCUGGUCCUAAGAUAAACAAAUGAAUCUGGAAAGAUCUGGAAGUAAAUCCGGGUUCCACGAUACAUCAGUACAAAACUGGAAGAGCCUUGGAAAAUGGAGAUUUAAAGGAGCAAGGGAACUGGGUACGAAAGAGCAUGAAAUAGCAUCAGAGGAAAAGGUAUUUGCCUCAGAGAAAUGAAAGGAAGAUUGGGAUAAGGGUGGUAAGUUCUCUGCACUUUCCUUCAAUCUGCUAGUGCAAAGCUGGGAGAUGGGACAACAAAUGAUAUUUGAUC